RNAcentral lists this ribosomal RNA (253 nucleotides) under uncultured bacterium. RNAcentral's name for it is "partial 16S ribosomal RNA". It matches the Rfam family "Bacterial small subunit ribosomal RNA", at positions 524 to 776 of the family's 1533-position model. The record is from RNAcentral.
UACGAAGGGGGCUAGCGUUGCUCGGAAUCACUGGGCGUAAAGGGUGCGUAGGCGGGUCUUUAAGUCAGGGGUGAAAUCCUGGAGCUCAACUCCAGAACUGCCUUUGAUACUGAAGAUCUUGAGUUCGGGAGAGGUGAGUGGAACUGCGAGUGUAGAGGUGAAAUUCGUAGAUAUUCGCAAGAACACCAGUGGCGAAGGCGGCUCACUGGCCCGAUACUGACGCUGAGGCACGACAGCGUGGGGAGCAAACAGG